RNAcentral lists this long non-coding RNA (440 nucleotides) under Mytilus galloprovincialis (Mediterranean mussel). Lineage: Eukaryota; Metazoa; Mollusca; Bivalvia; Mytilida; Mytilidae. The record is from RNAcentral.
GUGCUGUUUCCAUGGAAACGGCGGCCAUCUUUUACCAUUCCAUAGCAAGGUGCACAACUUCAAAUGGGGUUCCUCAUUAUAGUUGAGUUCCAUAAACAUUGGUCCGUUUAAUUCUGAGAACUCGCGCGGACAAAAUGUGUGGAAGAAAAUAAAAAAAACUAGAUUUGUAAUUGCUAGCAAUAACGGAUGGCACCCUCGUCCCCCUAUUGCCAGGCGAGCGGCAGCCAUUUUGAAAAUUUCAAAGUCAAAGAGUGCAUCUACACAUGCAAGUCAUCAUUUUUGCAAAAUUUCAUUAAGUUUGAAGCAUUUUGAAAAUUUUGAUAUUUUUGCUGUUUCCAUGGUUACGGCGGCCAUUUUGGAAAUUCCAACUUCAAAAUGGAACUCCGCACAUGUCAGUCACUAUUCCUGUAAAGUUUCAUCCAGUUUGCAGCACUUAAUUU